NNNNNNNNNNNNNNNNNNNNNNNNNNNNNNNNNNNNNNNNNNNNNNNNNNNNNNNGCGGUGCGCGCCUCCGCCGCGGCGGCGAUCCGGGCUUGCCGCCUUCCUGUGAGCACAAUGUGUGUGUAGGUAUCAGAGGUGUCCCGCAUCCCUUCAUCCGGCCGGCUCUGCUACACCCCGGGGCGGUAAAGCCCGACCGCUGGGCGGGGGAACGAGAAAGCGAGGGGUCGGGAGUGGGACAGUGAGGUCGGGAGCCCCCCGGGUCGCGAAAGCUGCGUGACUGUGGCGGGGGAGGAGGCGGGUGGGGGGGACGCGAGGGAGCCCGGCUGGGACUCCCGACCGCGGAUUCCUGGUCCCGCUCAGUCCCGGGACUGAGCGUCAGGCACGUCGCUUCACCCCCGGGAACUUCAGUUUUCUGGACAUAGAAGGAAGGGUUGGGGCUGGGGAGAGCUGGACUAACACCUCGCCUGGACCGUGAGCCAGGGCUUCCGCGGGCCCGAAUUACACCUGUGUUUACAGUUUUCCCUGAGUGACUCACGCACUGAGAUAGACUGAGUUCGAGAGAGUCCCCGGGCUAAAAACUCUUGUAACAGAGUAUGACCGCCUGCCACCUAGUCCGUCUCGUCGCCUCCUCCAGCGGCCCGAACCUUGACCUGGGUGUUUCCUCAGGGAAUUAGCGAGCGCCAGGGUCACCACCGUAAGCCUGCCUGGGUAAGGGCAAUGUGGUGGAGCGGAAUAGAAAGAAGACCCUGGAAAAACACCUGCGGCCUCCCCUCUGGCCCUCCUGCUCCCCAGAGAGGUAAUGUAUGGCAACUCCAAUUAGGUUCUCUGCCUUGCAGUCCACAGGGAUGAGCCCCUGAGCCUCCAGCCAGCUGAGAGGUGCAGGACUGGUUUCCCUUGAGAUUCCUGGGCUUGCCAUGAGAUCUGGCAGUGACAGCAGGACUGAGGGUGAGGAGGUCAAGGCUCACAAGAUGAGGAGAGAGGACUCAUCACCAGGGCACGUUGCUGGUGUUUUGCUCCAAGAGGAAUUUGCUUUCAAACAGACAUGCAUUCACUCAUCUCUUUUCUUAAAAAAAAAAAAAAAGAAAAGAAAACCACAAACACAAAAUCUCUUCCAACUCAGCUGACUGAGUCCAAGUGGGGACGACAGCACCAUUCAGUUGCAUGAUCCCACAGAGCCAGUGUCCAGAAUGAAAAUAAAUGUGACUUUUCAAAUCAGGGCAUAGUGUCGCUUUGUUUGUAAUUCAAUUAAAAGACAAGCAUCACAAUGUUAUUGUAUGAGAGGGAAGAUAAUACAGAGAUCCACAUCUUUUGGGCUGUAAUACACCAAACCUGGGCUUGACAGAUGGGCAUCAGUAUCUUGAGAAAGCCAGAAGGGGACAGUUCUUGAUCUCCAAAGGGCUAUACUGAGUGUGGUG
This 1413-nucleotide long non-coding RNA is filed under the name Mustela putorius furo (domestic ferret). Its description in RNAcentral is "lncRNA (ENSMPUG00000024954.1)". Lineage: Eukaryota; Metazoa; Chordata; Mammalia; Carnivora; Mustelidae. The record is from RNAcentral.